UACGUAGGGGGCGAGCGUUGUCCGGAGUUACUGGGCGUAAAGCGCGCGCAGGCGGUCUUCCAAGUCAGUGGUGAAAGCCUGGAGCUCAACUCCAGAACUGCCAUUGAAACUGUUGGACUUGAGUACGAGAGAGGUGAGUGGAAUUCCCAGUGUAGAGGUGAAAUUCGUAGAUAUUGGGAAGAACACCGGUGGCGAAGGCGGCUCACUGGCUCGUAACUGACGCUCAGGCGCGACAGCGUGGGGAUCAAACAGG
Molecule: ribosomal RNA, 253 nt
Filed under: uncultured bacterium
Lineage: Bacteria
Description: partial 16S ribosomal RNA
Rfam family: Bacterial small subunit ribosomal RNA
Source: RNAcentral